Molecule: long non-coding RNA, 291 nt
Organism: Mus caroli (Ryukyu mouse)
Lineage: Eukaryota; Metazoa; Chordata; Mammalia; Rodentia; Muridae
Source: RefSeq, a predicted model, not a curated record
AGCAGCCGCUGACUCAUAGACUUUCAUGUCUCUCGGCCCCAGUCUGUUGGCAGCUUCUGGACCGACUUGUAACUGCUUUGCUGGGGCCAGUGUAGUCCAACCUGGAAGUCCCGCCUACUCAUCCAGUGAUUGGUCCCUUUAUUCAUUCCAGGGGAAGGUUCACAAGAAGUCACCCUCACUCGCUGUUGGAGACGGAGGGAAGCCUGUUUGAACUCCACCCAGUUUGAAUCAACCAGUAAGACGAUCACGAGGAUCUUACUCUUUGUGUCUGCAAUGUGCUGUAGAGCAUGC